Molecule: ribosomal RNA, 477 nt
Filed under: uncultured organism
Description: partial 16S ribosomal RNA
Rfam family: Bacterial small subunit ribosomal RNA
Source: RNAcentral
CGUACACUCCUGCGGGAGGCAGCAGUGGGGAAUUUUGGACAAUGGGCGCAAGCCUGAUCCAGCCAUGCCGCGUGCGGGAAGAAGGCCUUCGGGUUGUAAACCGCUUUUGUCAGGGAAGAAAAGGUUCUGGCUAAUACCUGGGACUCAUGACGGUACCUGAAGAAUAAGCACCGGCUAACUACGUGCCAGCAGCCGCGGUAAUACGUAGGGUGCAAGCGUUAAUCGGAAUUACUGGGCGUAAAGCGUGCGCAGGCGGUUAUGCAAGACAGAGGUGAAAUCCCCGGGCUCAACCUGGGAACUGCCUUUGUGACUGCAUGGCUAGAGUACGGUAGAGGGGGAUGGAAUUCCGCGUGUAGCAGUGAAAUGCGUAGAUAUGCGGAGGAACACCGAUGGCGAAGGCAAUCCCCUGGACCUGUACUGACGCUCAUGCACGAAAGCGUGGGGAGCAAACAGGAUUAGAAACCCCUGUAGUCCCAU